CCUCGUCUUUUGUUGCCAGCACGUAAAGGUGGGGACUCAUAAGAGACUGCCGGGGUCAACUCGGAGGAAGGUGGGGAUGACGUCAAGUCAUCAUGCCCCUUAUGCCUAUGGGCUUCACGCAUGCUACAAUGGCCGGUACAAAGGGCUGCGAAAUCGCAAGAUGGAGCGAAUCCCAAAAAGCCGGUCUCAGUUCGGAUUGGGGUCUGCAACUCGACCCCAUGAAGUCGGAGUCGCUAGUAAUCGCAGAUCAGCAACGCUGCGGUGAAUACGUUCCCGGGCCUUGUACACACCGCCCGUCACGUCACGAAAGUUGGCAACACCCGAAGCCGGUGGCCCAUACCCUCUGUGAGGGAGCCGUCGAAGGUGGGGCGUAGCGAUUGGGACGAAGUCNUAACAAGGUAGCCGUACCGGAAG
Molecule: ribosomal RNA, 414 nt
Filed under: Nocardioides sp. 1265b
Lineage: Bacteria; Bacillati; Actinomycetota; Actinomycetes; Propionibacteriales; Nocardioidaceae
Description: bacterial SSU rRNA
Rfam family: Bacterial small subunit ribosomal RNA
Source: RNAcentral